This 465-nucleotide ribosomal RNA is filed under the name Vreelandella stevensii. RNAcentral's name for it is "partial 16S ribosomal RNA". It matches the Rfam family "Bacterial small subunit ribosomal RNA", at positions 338 to 795 of the family's 1533-position model. The record is from RNAcentral. Lineage: Bacteria; Pseudomonadati; Pseudomonadota; Gammaproteobacteria; Oceanospirillales; Halomonadaceae.
CCUACGGGUGGCAGCAGUGGGGAAUAUUGGACAAUGGGGGGAACCCCGAUCCAGCCAUGCCGCGUGUGUGAAGAAGGCCCUCGGGUUGUAAAGCACUUUCAGUGAGGAAGAACGCCUGGUGGUUAAUACCCAUCAGGAAAGACAUCACUCACAGAAGAAGCACCGGCUAACUCCGUGCCAGCAGCCGCGGUAAUACGGAGGGUGCGAGCGUUAAUCGGAAUUACUGGGCGUAAAGCGCGCGUAGGUGGCUUGAUAAGCCGGUUGUGAAAGCCCCGGGCUCAACCUGGGAACGGCAUCCGGAACUGUCAAGCUAGAGUGCAGGAGAGGAAGGUAGAAUUCCCGGUGUAGCGGUGAAAUGCGUAGAGAUCGGGAGGAAUACCAGUGGCGAAGGCGGCCUUCUGGACUGACACUGACACUGAGGUGCGAAAGCGUGGGUAGCAAACAGGAUUAGAUACCCCAGUAGUC